CACGUAGGGCGCAAGCGUUGUCCGGAAUUAUUGGGCGUAAAGAGCUCGUAGGCGGUCUGUCGCGUCUGCUGUGAAAACUCAGGGCUUAACCCUGAGCUUGCAGUGGGUACGGGCAGACUAGAGUGCGGUAGGGGAGACUGGAAUUCCUGGUGUAGCGGUGAAAUGCGCAGAUAUCAGGAGGAACACCCGUGGCGAAGGCGGCUCUCUGGUACGUGACUGACGCUGAGACGCGAAAGCGUGGGGAGCGAACAGG
Molecule: ribosomal RNA, 253 nt
Filed under: uncultured bacterium
Lineage: Bacteria
Description: partial 16S ribosomal RNA
Rfam family: Bacterial small subunit ribosomal RNA
Source: RNAcentral